GGGGUGAGUGCCGGAUCCUGGACUGUGUCCCCCGGCGUCCUGGGCUCCUGGGCCUGUGCUGCUGGAAUCGGGAUCCCGGGGCCGUGCAGCUCCCU
RNAcentral lists this microRNA precursor (95 nucleotides) under Canis lupus familiaris (dog). RNAcentral describes it as "mir-8799 microRNA precursor family". It matches the Rfam family "mir-8799 microRNA precursor family". Lineage: Eukaryota; Metazoa; Chordata; Mammalia; Carnivora; Canidae. RNAcentral also lists the same sequence under 1 other name. The record is from Rfam by way of RNAcentral.